This 129-nucleotide ribosomal RNA is filed under the name Paramassariosphaeria anthostomoides. Its description in RNAcentral is "partial large subunit ribosomal RNA". It matches the Rfam family "Eukaryotic large subunit ribosomal RNA", at positions 99 to 225 of the family's 3401-position model. Lineage: Eukaryota; Fungi; Ascomycota; Dothideomycetes; Pleosporales; Didymosphaeriaceae. The record is from RNAcentral.
CGGCAACAGCUCAAAUUUGAAAUCUGGCCCUCUUUGGGGGUCCGAGUUGUAAUUUGCAGAGGGUGCUUUGGCAUCGGCGGCGGUCUAAGUUCCUUGGAACAGGACAUCGCAGAGGGUGAGAAUCCCGUA